ACAGUGUUCCGGCUCUGUCGCUUGUAAGUUCAAUCUUAUAAGAGGAAAGUCCGGGCAGCAUAGGAUGCUCCACUUCUGAAAAUAGGAGCUGUUGGCGACAGCAGGAGAUGCAGAAGAAAACAACCGCCGUAAAGGCAAGGGUGAGAAGGUGGUGUAAGAGACCACCAGCUGGCAAGUGAUUGACAGGCUGUGCUAUCUGGAGGCUGCAAGUUCAUGUAAACCAUCGUCUGAGGGUUAUCCGUCCGAAAUAUCACGAUGGAGGGUAGAAUGCUCGAAUUAUGGGGUAACUCAUAAUCUAGAUAAAUGACAGGCACUUUAAUAUGCUAUACGCAUUUUAAAGGACAAAACCCGGCUUAUAGGGACACUGUUUUC
Molecule: non-coding RNA, 372 nt
Organism: Prevotella sp. CAG:255
Lineage: Bacteria; Pseudomonadati; Bacteroidota; Bacteroidia; Bacteroidales; Prevotellaceae
Source: Rfam